GAUGAACGCUGGCGGCGUGCCUAAUACAUGCCAGUCGAGCGAACAGACGAGGAGCUUGCUCCUCUGACGUUAGCGGCGGACGGGUGAGUAACACGUGGAUAACCUACCUAUAAGACUGGGAUAACUUCGGGAAACCCGAGCUAAUACCGGAUAAUAUAUUGAACCGCAUGGUUCAAUAGUGAAAGACGGUUUUGCUGUCACUUAUAGAUGGAUCCGCGCCGCAUUAGCUAGUUGGUAAGGUAACGGCUUACCAAGGCAACGAUGCGUAGCCGACCUGAGAGGGUGAUCGGCCACACUGGAACUGGGACACGGUCCAGACUCCUACGGGAGGCAGCAGUAGGGAAUCUUCCGCAAUGGGCGAAAGCCUGACGGAGCAACGCCGCGUGAGUGAUGAAGGUCUUCGGAUCGUAAAACUCUGUUAUUAGGGAAGAACAAAUGUGUAAGUAACUAUGCACGUCUUGACGGUACCUAAUCAGAAAGCCACGGCUAACUACGUG
RNAcentral lists this ribosomal RNA (497 nucleotides) under uncultured bacterium. RNAcentral describes it as "partial 16S ribosomal RNA". It matches the Rfam family "Bacterial small subunit ribosomal RNA", at positions 28 to 507 of the family's 1533-position model. The record is from RNAcentral.